GACGAACCGUCCAAACGUUAUUCGGUAUCACUGGGCUUAAAGAGUUCGUAGGCGGCCUAGUAGGUGAGAUGUGAAAUCCCACGGCUCAACCGUGGAAUUGCGUUUCAAACCGCUAGGCUUGAGGGAGAUAGAGGUGAGCGGAACAGAUGGUGGAGCGGUGAAAUGCGUUGAUAUCAUCUGGAACACCGGUGGCGAAAGCGGCUCACUGGAUCUUUUCUGACGCUGAGGAACGAAAGCUAGGGUAGCGAAC
Molecule: ribosomal RNA, 250 nt
Filed under: uncultured bacterium
Lineage: Bacteria
Description: partial 16S ribosomal RNA
Rfam family: Bacterial small subunit ribosomal RNA
Source: RNAcentral